CACGAGAAUAUAAAAUAAGACAUUGCUUCGAGGAAAAUUCUCAAUUAAUGAGAAAGCAUAAUUUAACUGUGCAUGAAUCUUGUAUGCAUGAACUAAUAUUUUUGAACGAUAUUUGGGGCAUCCUACUAUUUAUCCUCGUUAAUAGAUUUAACUAACUUCCGUCCAACGCGGUCGAAUAGAGCUGUGAUUCUUCAUUUCCCAUCGAAAUAUUCUAAUUGUAAAAUAGAUCUCGCAUUGGUACUCGAUCGAAAAUAAAGAACUAAUUCGGCUUUAAUCGAGGUGUGAUCUCGUAAAAAUUAUCGGGCUUUUCAAAAUUUAAUAAUUAAUUGAAAACAUUUCACUUGAGUUAAGAACACCAACAAUAUUCUUACUCGUCUUUCUUUAAUAAUUGGAUUUAUAAUUAAAACCAAUUAAAUACUUUUAUUGCAAGUAAAAAUGCAAUUUCAUGUCAUGCUUAGCAUAUAAUAAGUAAUUUACUUAAAAUAUGCACAUAAUAAUAAUACAAUAUUAUUAUUAUGUAAAUCAUCCUUUGAGAAAAAUAAUUAAUUAAACUAAUUAAAUAGUCUAAUUAAUAAGUAUCCAUUUUUCUUUGAACUGCAGCCCAGUUAAAUAAUAAGGUAGUCCAUUUCUUUAAAAAAAACAUAAGUCCAAUGUUUCAAUUUAAAUCAGGGCCCAAAGACUUUAAUAAAAUCGUCCCAAAGACUUUAAUAAAAUCGGCUCAUAGCCAAAGUCCAAUACCAUUUAAACACAAGCCCAAUAUUUUAAAAGAUAAAGGCCCAAUUAAAAUAAAUGAAGAGUCCCAAAUUCCAUUUAAAAAUCGGCCCAUCACUUAUUAAAAAUCGGCCCAAGACUCGGCCCAAAAUAAAGAAAUAACCCGGCCCAAUGUAAUGGCCCAACAAAAUAUAAAUGAGAUUAGAAUAAUAGCCCAUCGUAAAAUAAGCAUCAGCCCAAUCUUUAAAAUAAUUCAAGCCCAAUAGAAAUAAUGUGAAUGUCCAUUUAAAUAAAGACUGGCCCAAUUCGAAUUUAUUUGUGAAAGCCCAAUCGAUUAAAUUGGAAGCUCAAUUCCUUUAGAAUAAAACAAACCCAAGCUCAAAUAAUUCAGCCCAAAUAAUAUAGAUAAAGGCCCAAUUCGAAUUUAGAUGUGAAGCCCAAGACAUUAAAAUUCAAGCCCGAAAAUUAAAAGGGAAAAGCCCAAGCAAAAGAAAUAAAAUUAAGCCCAUUCUAAAAAAUCAGAGGCCCAACAAUAUAAAUAAAAACCGGCCCAACAACUUAACUCAUUCACUCAUUCCUUCUACAUUUUCGGCCCAAUAGCCAAAGCCCAACAAUCCAGGCCCAAAACCCAAACCCUAUUACCUUUCUCCUCUCUCUCUUAAUCACACGCGCACACACACAUUCAGAGACACACACAAAACAAACACACGCACACAGCAAGGCACCCCCCCUCGCCCUCUUCUCUCCUCCGGCGGUAGGCGUCGCCGGCCACGCCGCCGCCCCGACAACCCUCUCUCCUUUACCUCAAUCACGGCCGCCCACCUCCUUCACUCCACCGAACCCAGCGGAAACAUUAUACAGUCACCGCGCCCUUCUCCGUGAAGAGCCGACGAUCGGCCCCUCUCCCUCGCUCCAUCUUCUUCUCCAUCGUUUCCCUACAACAUAAGUCAGCGGCCGCAGCAGCAAAACCGACCACCGCCUCUCCCUCAAACAGACGCCCACCUCUCUUCUCUCUUCCUCUCUCAAGAUCUAUUCGUCUCUCUCUCUCUCUCGAAGUCACCGCCGUCGGAGCUCGCCGGAGUUGAGAUCGCCGCCUGGAGCUGCUGCUGUUCGCCGGGAGUUGAGGUCGCCGCCUGCUCGUCUAGCCGUCUCUCAUGGAGCCGCCGUCGCCAUGGACAGCAGAUCGGAAGCCACCCGCCGCCGCGUCGCCGGAAAAAGAUAAGUUCUCUUCCCUCUGUUCUUUUCUUCCCUUUCAUUUCCUUCCCUUUUUAGAUUAAAAACCGAAAUUUUCCUCUCAUUUCCCUCCUUGGCAGAUCGACAACCACCACGGCUUCGCCGCCGUCCGUCGACCGCCGGCAGCCACCGAGCUGUCUCACUCCCUCCCCUGACUCGGACACACAAGAACAGGAGACUCAUCCCCCCCAAAUUCCAGUUUACACAUAGAAGCAAUUAGAGUUUCAAUUCUGUUCAUUUUUCGUUUUUCUUCUACAACAAUUGAUUGUACAUGUAAAAGCUAGAAAACAUAUAGUAAAUACAUGUGUGUGCAUAUGUAUGUAUUGCUGUACUUUGAUAUAGUGUUUGGUGA
Molecule: long non-coding RNA, 2296 nt
Organism: Salvia miltiorrhiza (redroot sage)
Lineage: Eukaryota; Viridiplantae; Streptophyta; Magnoliopsida; Lamiales; Lamiaceae
Exons: 2
Source: RefSeq, a predicted model, not a curated record